AACAAUGAAGUAAAAUAAUUACAAUUAGUUUCGACCUAAAAUUAGGAAAUAACCCAUGUUU
Molecule: transfer RNA, 61 nt
Filed under: Seasogonia rosea
Lineage: Eukaryota; Metazoa; Arthropoda; Insecta; Hemiptera; Cicadellidae
Description: tRNA-Arg
Source: RNAcentral